GAUGAACGCUAGCGGCAGGCUUAAUACAUGCAAGUCGAGGGGCAGCACGGUUAGCAAUAACUGGUGGCGACCGGCGCACGGGUGCGUAACACGUAUACAAUCUACCUUAAACAGGGGGAUAGCCUUUCGAAAGAGAGAUUAAUACCCCGUAAUAAAUUGAACGGCAUCGUUUGAUUUUGAAAGCUCCGGCGGUUUGAGAUGAGUAUGCGUCUGAUUAGCUAGUUGGUGAGGUAACGGCUCACCAAGGCUCCGAUCGGUAGCUGUUCUGAGAGGAAGAUCAGCCACACUGGGACUGAGACACGGCCCAGACUCCUACGGGAGGCAGCAGUUGGGAAUCUUGGACAAUGGGGGAAACCCUGAUCCAGCCAUGCCGCGUGAGUGAUGAAGGCCUUCGGGUUGGUAAAACUACUUUCGUACGGGGACGAGUAAUGACGGUACCCGUACGAAGAAGACUCCGGCUAACUUCGUGCCAGCAGCCGCGGUAAGU
This 487-nucleotide ribosomal RNA is filed under the name uncultured bacterium. RNAcentral describes it as "bacterial SSU rRNA". It matches the Rfam family "Bacterial small subunit ribosomal RNA", at positions 28 to 525 of the family's 1533-position model. The record is from RNAcentral.